AGGGCAAGUCUGGUGCCAGCAGCCGCAGUAAUUCCAGCUCCAAUAGCGUAUAUUAAAGUUGUUGCAGUUAAAAAGCUCGUAGUUGAAUUUCGGGAUCAAUCUAUCGGUCGUGCAAUAGUACGUACUGAUUUUAUUGAUUCCUCCCUUCUGAUGAACUAUGAUGUCAUUAAUUUGGUGUCAUAGGGAAUCAGGACUGUUACUUUGAAAAAAUUAGAGUGUUUAAAGCAGGCUCACGCUUGAAUACAUUAGCAUGGAAUAACGAAAUAGGACGUUUGAUUCUAUUUUGUUGGUUUCUAGGAUCGACGUAAUGAUUAAUAGGGAUAGUUGGGGGCAUUAGUAUUCAAUUGUCAGAGGUGAAAUUCUUGGAUUUAUUGAAGACUAACUACUGCGAAAGCAUUUGCCAAGGAUGUUUUCAUUAAUCAAGAACGAAAGUUAGGGGAUCGAAGACGGUCAGAUACCGUCGUAGUCUUAACCAUAAACUAUGCCGACUAGGGAUCGGAUGAUGUUAAUUUUUUAAUGACUCAUUCGGCGCCUUACGGGAA
RNAcentral lists this ribosomal RNA (542 nucleotides) under uncultured Glomeromycotina. RNAcentral's name for it is "SSU rRNA". It matches the Rfam family "Eukaryotic small subunit ribosomal RNA", at positions 552 to 1096 of the family's 1831-position model. Lineage: Eukaryota; Fungi; Glomeromycota. The record is from RNAcentral.